Non-coding RNA from Bos taurus (domestic cattle), 73 nucleotides. Lineage: Eukaryota; Metazoa; Chordata; Mammalia; Artiodactyla; Bovidae. The record is from Rfam.
UUCCUGGUGGUCCAGUUGCUAAGACUCUGAGUUCCCAAUGCAGGGGGCCUGGGUUCGAUCCCUGGUCAGGGAA